This is a non-coding RNA of Enterococcus mundtii, 90 nucleotides long. The record is from Rfam. NCBI's taxonomy places the organism in Bacteria, Bacillati, Bacillota, Bacilli, Lactobacillales, Enterococcaceae.
UAAUGCAAAUGAAAAGAGGAGUUGCGCAAACAACUCCCCUUAGGAUAGCACCGUUUAAGUCGGUGGCAUAGUUGAAUCAGUUACAAAGAA